RNAcentral lists this small RNA (80 nucleotides) under Flavobacterium branchiophilum. RNAcentral's name for it is "Flavo-1 RNA". It matches the Rfam family "Flavo-1 RNA". The record is from Rfam by way of RNAcentral. Lineage: Bacteria; Pseudomonadati; Bacteroidota; Flavobacteriia; Flavobacteriales; Flavobacteriaceae.
GACUAGCCCCGAUAGAAGUGGAAAUCCUUUUGUGGGCAGGGUUUGCCCACAAAAGAUUGCAACGGAUAGCGGGAUAAGCU